Small nuclear RNA from Jaculus jaculus (lesser Egyptian jerboa), 105 nucleotides. The record is from Ensembl. NCBI's taxonomy places the organism in Eukaryota, Metazoa, Chordata, Mammalia, Rodentia, Dipodidae.
GCGCUCGCAUCAGCAGCCCAUGUGCUGAAGUUGGAGCAACACAGGGAGGAGCAGCGUGGCCCCUGAGCAGGGAUGACACCCGUUUGUGAAGCAUUCCAUGUUCUU